CGUAGCCGCGGGAAUACGUAGGGUGCGAGCGUUAAUCGGAAUUACUGGGCGUAAAGCGUGCGCAGGCGGUUGUGUAAGACAGGUGUGAAAUCCUCGGGCUUAACCUGGGGACUGCGCUUGUGACUGCACAGCUAGAGUAUGGCAGAGGGGGGUGGAAUUCCACGUGUAGCAGUGAAAUGCGUAGAGGUGUGGAGGUACACCGAUGGCGAAGGCAGCCCCCUGGGCCAAUACUGACGCUCAUGCACGAAAGCGUGGGGAGCAAACAGGAUUAGAUACCCCCGUAGUCCCUGUCUCUUAUACA
Molecule: ribosomal RNA, 301 nt
Filed under: uncultured bacterium
Lineage: Bacteria
Description: partial 16S ribosomal RNA
Rfam family: Bacterial small subunit ribosomal RNA
Source: RNAcentral